RNAcentral lists this ribosomal RNA (444 nucleotides) under uncultured bacterium. RNAcentral's name for it is "bacterial SSU rRNA". It matches the Rfam family "Bacterial small subunit ribosomal RNA", at positions 97 to 520 of the family's 1533-position model. The record is from RNAcentral.
GGCGAACGGGUGAGUAACGCGUAGACAACCUACCUUCUAGAUGGGGACAACACUGCGAAAGUGGUGCUAAUACCGAAUGUUGUAUGUAAAACGCCUGUUUCAUAUACUAAAGGUGGCCUCUAUUUAUAAGCUACCACUAGAAGAUGGGUCUGCGUCUGAUUAGCUAGUUGGUGAGGUAAUGGCUCACCAAGGCGACGAUCAGUAGCCGGUCUGAGAGGAUGAACGGCCACACUGGGACUGAGACACGGCCAGACUCCUACGGGAGGCAGCAGUGGGGAAUCUUCCGCAAUGGACGAAAGUCUGACGGAGCAACGCCGGUGAGUGAAGAAGGUUUUCGGAUCGUAAAACUCUGUUUUCAGGGACGAAUGUGCGAUAUGUGAAUAAUGUGUUGUAAUGACGGUACCUGACAAGAAAGCCCCGGUAACUACGUGCCAGCCGACGCGG